This 665-nucleotide ribosomal RNA is filed under the name uncultured Bacteroidota bacterium. RNAcentral's name for it is "bacterial SSU rRNA". It matches the Rfam family "Bacterial small subunit ribosomal RNA", at positions 28 to 689 of the family's 1533-position model. The record is from RNAcentral. Lineage: Bacteria; Pseudomonadati; Bacteroidota.
GAUGAACGCUAGCGGCAGGCCUAAUACAUGCAAGUCGAACGGCAGCGCGGGUAGCAAUACCUGGCGGCGAGUGGCGCACGGGUGCGUAACACGUAUGCAACCUACCCAUAACCGGGAAAUAGCUCGGAGAAAUUCGAAUUAAUGUCCCAUAAUAUCAUGAAGUGGCAUCUCUUUAUGAUUAAAGAUUAAUCGGUUAUGGAUGGGCAUGCGUUUGAUUAGCUAGUUGGUGAGGUAAUGGCUCACCAAGGCAACGAUCAAUAGGGGUUCUGAGAGGAUGAUCCCCCACACUGGUACUGAGAUACGGACCAGACUCCUACGGGAGGCAGCAGUAGGGAAUAUUGGGCAAUGGAGGCAACUCUGACCCAGCCAUGCCGCGUGAAGGAAGAAGGCCUUCUGGGUUGUAAACUUCUUUUAUAUGGGAAGAAAGGACUCUUGCGAGAGGCGUUGACGGUACCAUAUGAAUAAGCACCGGCUAACUCCGUGCCAGCAGCCGCGGUAAUACGGAGGGUGCAAGCGUUGUCCGGAUUUAUUGGGUUUAAAGGGUGCGUAGGCGGCUUUAUAAGUCAGUGGUGAAAGACUGUGGCUCAACCAUAGAAUUGCCAUUGAUACUGUAGAGCUUGAGUAUAGUUGAGGUAGGCGGAAUUGACGGUGUAGCGGUGAAAUGC